GACGAACGCUGGCGGCGUGCCUAAUACAUGCAAGUAGAACGCUGAAGAGAGGAGCUUGCUCUUCUUGGAUGAGUUGCGAACGGGUGAGUAACGCGUAGGUAACCUGCCUUGUAGCGGGGGAUAACUAUUGGAAACGAUAGCUAAUACCGCAUAACAAUGGAUGCCACAUGUCAUUUAUUUGAAAGGGGCAAUUGCUCUACUACAAGAUGGACCUGCGUUGUAUUAGCUAGUAGGUGAGGUAACGGCUCACCUAGGCGACGGUACAUAGCCGGCCUGAGAGGAUGAUCAGCCACACUGGGACUGAGACACGGCCCAGACUCCUACGGGAAGCAGCAAGAGGGAAUCUUUGGCAAUGGGGGGAAACCUGGCCGAGCAAAGCCGCGUGAGUGAAGAAGGUUUUCGGAUUGUAAAGCUCUGUUGCAUGUCAAGAAAGAGUGGGAGAGUAAAAAGUUCACACUGUGACGGUAGCUAACCAGAAAGGGACGGCUAACUACGUG
RNAcentral lists this ribosomal RNA (497 nucleotides) under uncultured bacterium. Its description in RNAcentral is "partial 16S ribosomal RNA". It matches the Rfam family "Bacterial small subunit ribosomal RNA", at positions 28 to 507 of the family's 1533-position model. The record is from RNAcentral.